This 27-nucleotide small RNA is filed under the name Bombyx mori (domestic silkworm). RNAcentral describes it as "ovarian small RNA-28526". The record is from RNAcentral. Lineage: Eukaryota; Metazoa; Arthropoda; Insecta; Lepidoptera; Bombycidae.
UCGAUUUGCGUCAAAACCGUGGUGAAC